UCAGGGUCCCACCGGUCCGCAUGGAAACCCUGGUGUACCUGGCCCUCCCGGACUGAAGGGCUCAAAGGGCGACCCGGGACUGUCUCCAGGCCAGGCUCCGGCAGGAGAGAAGGGCGAGCGAGGCCCACCCGGCCUGCCUGGUCCAGGCGGUUUCCCAGGUCCAACGGGUCCGAAGGGCUAAUCCAGGACCAGCGGGUCUACCAGGAGAACAAGGUGUGCCAGGACUGCCAGGAGUGGCUGGGGCUGCAGGUUACCCUGGCAGGCAGGGUUUGGCUGGGCCAGAAGGUAACCCAGGGCCUAAAGGUGUACGUGGCUUCAUCGGACCUCCUGGGAUUGCUGGACCACCAGGGCUGGAGGGCGAGAGAGGCAUUCCCGGUCCGGUCGGGAAAACAGG
Long non-coding RNA from Osmerus eperlanus (European smelt), 394 nucleotides. RefSeq lists it as uncharacterized. The transcript has 8 exons. NCBI's taxonomy places the organism in Eukaryota, Metazoa, Chordata, Actinopteri, Osmeriformes, Osmeridae. The record is from RefSeq and is a predicted model, not a curated record.